AUUGAACGCUGGCGGCAGGCCUAACACAUGCAAGUCGAACGAGUGGCGGACGGGUGAGUAAUGUCUGGGAAACUGCCUGAUGGAGGGGGAUAACUACUGGAAACGGUAGCUAAUACCGCAUACCAUCGGAUGUGCCCAGAUGGGAUUAGCUAGUAGGUGGGGUAACGGAUCACCUAGGCGACGAUCCCUAGCGGGUCUGAGAGGAUGACCAGCCACACUGGAACGUAGACACGGUCCAGACUCCUACGGGAGGCAGCAGUGGGGAAUAUUGGACAAUGGGCGCAAGCCUGAUGCAGCCCUGCCGCUUGUAUGAAGAAGGCCUUCGGGUUUUAAAGUACGUUCAGCGGGGAGGCGUUACCCGCAGAAGAAGCACCGGCUAACUCCGUGCCAGCAGCCGCGGUAAUAC
This 406-nucleotide ribosomal RNA is filed under the name uncultured bacterium. Its description in RNAcentral is "partial 16S ribosomal RNA". It matches the Rfam family "Bacterial small subunit ribosomal RNA", at positions 30 to 526 of the family's 1533-position model. The record is from RNAcentral.